RNAcentral lists this small nucleolar RNA (47 nucleotides) under Drosophila melanogaster (fruit fly). RNAcentral describes it as "partial small nucleolar RNA snoR797". Lineage: Eukaryota; Metazoa; Arthropoda; Insecta; Diptera; Drosophilidae. The record is from RNAcentral.
GCUACUGAAGACAGUUGACGAAAGCAAAAAUACCAAAAUCACUGAAA